Molecule: ribosomal RNA, 445 nt
Filed under: uncultured bacterium
Lineage: Bacteria
Description: bacterial SSU rRNA
Rfam family: Bacterial small subunit ribosomal RNA
Source: RNAcentral
ACCAGACUCCUACGGGAGGCAGCAGUGGGGAAUAUUGCACAAUGGGGGGAACCCUGAUGCAGCGACGCCGCGUGGGUGAAGGAGUAUUUCGGUAUGUAAAGCCCUCUCAGCAGGGAAGAACAAUGACGGUACCUGACUAAGAAGCUCCGGCUAACUACGUGCCAGCAGCCGCGGUAAUACGUAGGGAGCGAGCGUUGUCCGGAAUUACUGGGUGUAAAGGGAGCGUAGGCGGGGAUGCAAGUUGGGUGUCAAAACUACCGGCUCAACUGGUAGUCGCACUCAAAACUGCAGCUCUUGAGUGAAGUAGAGGCAGGCGGAAUUCCUAGUGUAGCGGUGAAAUGCGUAGAUAUUAGGAGGAACACCGGCGGCGAAGGCGGCCUGCUGGACCGUGACUGACGUUGAGGCUCGAGAGCGUGGGGAGCAAACAGGAUUAGAUACCCUUGUA